GUGAGCUUUAGUGUGCAGCAGAACAACACUGAGGCUGUUGCUCUCUGCCAUCUGGCUGAACUCCAUGCUGAGCAGGGACUUUAUGCUGUUGUGAGUGACAUCAUGAAACACUUAAAGCAGCAGUUUCCUCCUCAUACCCAACAUGCCAAACUCUGGAUGCUGUGUGAUCUGAAAAUUCAGUUUGAGAAGGCUA
This is a long non-coding RNA of Sinocyclocheilus rhinocerous, 193 nucleotides long. RefSeq lists it as uncharacterized. The record is from RefSeq and is a predicted model, not a curated record. The transcript is spliced from 3 exons. NCBI's taxonomy places the organism in Eukaryota, Metazoa, Chordata, Actinopteri, Cypriniformes, Cyprinidae.